RNAcentral lists this ribosomal RNA (1022 nucleotides) under Acinetobacter soli. Its description in RNAcentral is "bacterial SSU rRNA". It matches the Rfam family "Bacterial small subunit ribosomal RNA", at positions 442 to 1460 of the family's 1533-position model. The record is from RNAcentral. Lineage: Bacteria; Pseudomonadati; Pseudomonadota; Gammaproteobacteria; Moraxellales; Moraxellaceae.
AGGAGGCUCUUUUGGUUAAUACCCAAGAUGAGUGGACGUUACUCGCAGAAUAAGCACCGGGCUAACUCUGUGCCAGCAGCCGCGGUAAUACAGAGGGUGCAAGCGUUAAUCGGAUUUACUGGGCGUAAAGCGCGCGUAGGCGGCCAAUUAAGUCAAAUGUGAAAUCCCCGAGCUUAACUUGGGAAUUGCAUUCGAUACUGGUUGGCUAGAGUGUGGGAGAGGAUGGUAGAAUUCCAGGUGUAGCGGUGAAAUGCGUAGAGAUCUGGAGGAAUACCGAUGGCGAAGGCAGCCAUCUGGCCUAACACUGACGCUGAGGUGCGAAAGCAUGGGGAGCAAACAGGAUUAGAUACCCUGGUAGUCCAUGCCGUAAACGAUGUCUACUAGCCGUUGGGGCCUUUGAGGCUUUAGUGGCGCAGCUAACGCGAUAAGUAGACCGCCUGGGGAGUACGGUCGCAAGACUAAAACUCAAAUGAAUUGACGGGGGCCCGCACAAGCGGUGGAGCAUGUGGUUUAAUUCGAUGCAACGCGAAGAACCUUACCUGGCCUUGACAUAGUAGAAACUUUCCAGAGAUGGAUUGGUGCCUUCGGGAAUCUACAUACAGGUGCUGCAUGGCUGUCGUCAGCUCGUGUCGUGAGAUGUUGGGUUAAGUCCCGCAACGAGCGCAACCCUUUUCCUUACUUGCCAGCAUUUCGGAUGGGAACUUUAAGGAUACUGCCAGUGACAAACUGGAGGAAGGCGGGGACGACGUCAAGUCAUCAUGGCCCUUACGGCCAGGGCUACACACGUGCUACAAUGGUCGGUACAAAGGGUUGCUACCUAGCGAUAGGAUGCUAAUCUCAAAAAGCCGAUCGUAGUCCGGAUUGGAGUCUGCAACUCGACUCCAUGAAGUCGGAAUCGCUAGUAAUCGCGGAUCAGAAUGCCGCGGUGAAUACGUUCCCGGGCCUUGUACACACCGCCCGUCACACCAUGGGAGUUUGUUGCACCAGAAGUAGCUAGCCUAACUGCAAAGAGGGCGUACCGG